Molecule: ribosomal RNA, 253 nt
Filed under: uncultured bacterium
Lineage: Bacteria
Description: partial 16S ribosomal RNA
Rfam family: Bacterial small subunit ribosomal RNA
Source: RNAcentral
UACGGGGGGUGCAAGCGUUAUCCGGAUUCACUGGGUUUAAAGGGUGCGUAGGAGGGCAGGUAAGUCAGUGGUGAAAUCUUCGAGCUUAACUCGGAAACUGCCGUUGAUACUAUCUGUCUUGAAUACCGUGGAGGUGAGCGGAAUAUGUCAUGUAGCGGUGAAAUGCUUAGAUAUGACAUAGAACACCGAUUGCGAAGGCAGCUCACUACACGAAUAUUGACUCUGAGGCACGAAAGCGUGGGGAUCAAACAGG